RNAcentral lists this long non-coding RNA (1087 nucleotides) under Sus scrofa (pig). RNAcentral describes it as "lncRNA (ENSSSCG00015039050.1)". The record is from RNAcentral. Lineage: Eukaryota; Metazoa; Chordata; Mammalia; Artiodactyla; Suidae.
CUUCCUGGUCUUUUGUUAACUGAUCACCUGUCUGGGCAGCAAGAAUUGACAGCUUCAACUGGAAAACUCAUUUAGGUGGAGUUCUGAGCAAGUCUGCUAAUGAUGAACUUCCUUCUUCAGUUCUUGACAGAAACCGUCUCCAGUGUUUCCAUUGCCUCAACGCAGCUCGGAGGACUUCUCUGCCCACUGUGGUCUGGCUGCCCCCCCACCCCCCCCCCCCCGCUCCCGGCACCCACUCCUCCUGGAAGGGCUGCUCCUGCCAAGGUCGUCAACAACCUCCUUGCUCCAGACCAUGCCCAGCGCGCCUCCUUGGUCCGCACUGUCCUUGGCAUCCUGUCCCCCGGGGGACCAGCUCCCAGGCUCGGCUCCUGCCUCUGCACCGCCUCCCUCUCCAUCUCUGUUGCAGGCUCUCCUUCCCACCCCCGGCCUUGAACACAGCCCUCCUCUGCUUUUUCCCCAUCACAACGGGGCUAUUUCUCCUGUGUGUCGCAGGCACCGAAUUUCAUUAUGUCACAAGCGGAGCGAUGCCUCUCAUACCCCCACCCAUACCUGCCCAGACCUGAGAGCUGCUGUCCUAUGCUCCCCGCCCAGGAAAGCCACCAUCGUCCACAAGGGGGCUUGUCCCCUCCCCUCCCCCACCAUCCCCCACAAAUCGUUGCCCAGAGCUGCCCUUGACCUUUCAGAUCCCCUCACCUCUGCCUCCUUCCAUCCACCCCGGAUGCCACGAUUCCUGCCUGGAUUCCUGGAAGUGCCCCCUCACUAGUCUCCCUUCUCUCCAACCACUUCUCCAAACCACAGACCGAAUGCUCUUUCUAAAAUGAAAAUCUUGGAGUUCCCAUGGUGGCUCAGCAGGUGAAGAACCCAACAUAGUGUCCAUGAGGAUGCGGGUUCGAUUCCUGGCCUCGCUCAGUGGGUUAAGGAGUAGGCAUUGCUGCAAGCUGCAGUGUAGGUGGCAGAUGCUGCUGAGAUGCCAUUGCUGUGGCUGUGGCUAGGCUGGCAGCUGCAGCUCCCACUGACCCCUAGCCUAGGAACUUCCAUAUGCCGCAGGUUCAGCCCUUGAAAGAAAAAAUAAAAUAAUAAAAUAAAA